AUUGAACGCUGGCGGCAUGCUUUACACAUGCAAGUCGAACGGUAACAGGUUAAGCUGACGAGUGGCGAACGGGUGAGUAAUGCAUCGGAACGUGCCCGGUCGUGGGGGAUAACGCAGCGAAAGCUGCGCUAAUACCGCAUACGAUCUGAGGAUGAAAGCGGGGGACCGUAAGGCCUCGCGCGAUCGGAGCGGCCGAUGUCAGAUUAGGUAGUUGGUGGGGUAAAGGCUCACCAAGCCGACGAUCUGUAGCUGGUCUGAGAGGACGACCAGCCACACUGGGACUGAGACACGGCCCAGACUCCUACGGGAGGCAGCAGUGGGGAAUUUUGGACAAUGGGCGCAAGCCUGAUCCAGCAAUGCCGCGUGCAGGAAGAAGGCCUUCGGGUUGUAAACUAGCUUUUGUUACGGAGCGAAAAGGUCUACCCCUAACUAACCGGGAGGCGUGAUGACGGUACCGGUAAGAAUAAAGACACCGGCUAACUACGUGCCAGCAGCCGCGGUAAGACG
Molecule: ribosomal RNA, 507 nt
Filed under: uncultured bacterium
Lineage: Bacteria
Description: bacterial SSU rRNA
Rfam family: Bacterial small subunit ribosomal RNA
Source: RNAcentral